This 102-nucleotide transfer RNA is filed under the name Colletotrichum orbiculare MAFF 240422. RNAcentral's name for it is "tRNA-Val for anticodon UAC". It matches the Rfam family "tRNA". From Rfam's summary of the family: Transfer RNA (tRNA) molecules are approximately 80 nucleotides in length. Their secondary structure includes four short double-helical elements and three loops (D, anti-codon, and T loops). Further hydrogen bonds mediate the characteristic L-shaped molecular structure. tRNAs have two regions of fundamental functional importance: the anti-codon, which is responsible for specific mRNA codon recognition, and the 3' end, to which the tRNAs corresponding amino acid is attached (by aminoacyl-tRNA synthetases). tRNAs cope with the degeneracy of the genetic code in two manners: having more than one tRNA (with a specific anti-codon) for a particular amino acid; and 'wobble' base-pairing, i.e. permitting non-standard base-pairing at the 3rd anti-codon position. Lineage: Eukaryota; Fungi; Ascomycota; Sordariomycetes; Glomerellales; Glomerellaceae. The record is from Rfam by way of RNAcentral.
GGUCGAUUGGCCCAGCGGUUAAGGCAUCUGCUUUACAAAGGACCUUCUAGCAUGGUUGUCUUGUCUCGCAGAGGAUCGCAGGUUCGAUCCCUGCAUCGAUCA